Molecule: ribosomal RNA, 468 nt
Filed under: uncultured bacterium
Lineage: Bacteria
Description: partial 16S ribosomal RNA
Rfam family: Bacterial small subunit ribosomal RNA
Source: RNAcentral
GACGAACGCUGGCGGCGUGCUUAACACAUGCAAGUCGAACGGAAAGGCCCUGCUUUUGUGGGGUGCUCGAGUGGCGAACGGGUGAGUAACACGUGAGUAACCUGCCCUUGACUGUGGGGUAACUUCAGGAAACUGGGGCUAAUACCGGAUAGGACCUCCUGCUGCAUGGUGGGGGUUGGAAAGUUUCGGCGGUUGGGGAUGGACUCGCGGCUUAUCAGCUUGUUGGUGGGGUAGUGGCUUACCAAGGCUUUGACGGGUAGCCGGCCUGAGAGGGUGACCGGCCACAUUGGGACUGAGAUACGGCCCAGACUCCUACUGGAGGCAGCAGUGGGGAAUAUUGCACAAUGGGCGGAAGCCUGAUGCAGCAACGCCGCGUGCGGGAUGACGGCUUUCGGGUUGUAAACCGCUUUCGCCUGUGACGAAGCGUGAGUGACGGUAAUGGGUAAAGAAGCACCGGCUAACUACGUG